GCAUAUCAAUAAGCGGAGGAAAAGAAACUAACAAGGAUUCCCUUAGUAACGGCGAGUGAAGCGGGAAGAGCUCAAAUUUGAAAUCUUCAAGGUUCUACCUUGACGAAUUGUAGUUUAAAGAAGUGUUUUCUGUUAGAUGAGUAGCAAAAGUUCCUUGGAAUGGGACAUCAUAGAGGGUGAGAAUCCCGUAUUUGGUUAUUCAUUCUAGCUUUGUGAUACACUUUCAAAGAGUCGGAUUGUUUGGGAAUGCAGUCCAAGAUGGGUGGUAAAUUUCAUCUAAAGCUAAAUAUUGGCGAGAGACCGAUAGCGAACAAGUACCGUGAGGGAAAGAUGAAAAGAACUUUGAAAAGAGAGUUAAACAGUACGUGAAAUUGUCAAAAGGGAAGCGUUUGACACCAGUGUUGUUUUUCCGAAAAUCAAUUACGAAUGGCUUGAUUUUGUGUUGUAUUGACCUUAUCAGCUUUCUGCACUUUUUUCGAGUCUUUCUUAAUGCACUUUUCGGUUAACAAGUCAACAUCAAUUUCUUUUGUUGUAAAAGAGUAUUCGGAAGGUGGCUUUCUUUUCGGAGAAAGUGUUUAUAGCCCUAUACUUCUACAAUCGGAGAGAUUGAGGUCUGCAGCGUAGAUCCUUCGGGGUUAGAUACACUUGUGCUAAGUUGUAGCUUUUCAUAGACAACUUGUUGACUAUGUUUAGUCAUGCGGCUUACUCGCUUGUGCUAUUUUACCUACGCUUAGGAUGUUGACAAAAUGGUUUUAAACGACCCGUCUUGAAACACGGACC
This 780-nucleotide ribosomal RNA is filed under the name Neocallimastix frontalis. RNAcentral's name for it is "partial large subunit ribosomal RNA". It matches the Rfam family "Eukaryotic large subunit ribosomal RNA", at positions 38 to 667 of the family's 3401-position model. The record is from RNAcentral. Lineage: Eukaryota; Fungi; Neocallimastigomycota; Neocallimastigomycetes; Neocallimastigales; Neocallimastigaceae.